GACGAACGCUGGCGGCGUGCUUAACACAUGCAAGUCGAACGAAGAGCGAUGGAAGCUUGCUUCUAUCAAUCUUAGUGGCGAACGGGUGAGUAACGCGUAAUCAACCUGCCCUUCAGAGGGGGACAACAGUUGGAAACGACUGCUAAUACCGCAUACGAUCUAAUCUCGGCAUCGAGGAUAGAUGAAAGGUGGCCUCUACAUGUAAGCUAUCACUGAAGGAGGGGAUUGCGUCUGAUUAGCUAGUUGGAGGGGUAACGGCCCACCAAGGCGAUGAUCAGUAGCCGGUCUGAGAGGAUGAACGGCCACAUUGGGACUGAGACACGGCCCAGACUCCUACGGGAGGCAGCAGUGGGGAAUCUUCCGCAAUGGACGAAAGUCUGACGGAGCAACGCCGCGUGAGUGAUGACGGCCUUCGGGUUGUAAAGCUCUGUUAAUCGGGACGAAAGGCCUUCUUUGCGAAUAGUGAGAAGGAUUGACGGUACCCGAAAUAGAAAGC
Molecule: ribosomal RNA, 496 nt
Filed under: Veillonella parvula
Lineage: Bacteria; Bacillati; Bacillota; Negativicutes; Veillonellales; Veillonellaceae
Description: bacterial SSU rRNA
Rfam family: Bacterial small subunit ribosomal RNA
Source: RNAcentral